GUGUAGUGCGGUCAUGUGGUGCGGAGCCAUCGUGUGCUCCUCUCCCAUCAUCAUCGCCCUCUGAGUGGUCUGCUCUCGAACUGAACUGAACCCAAGCAGGAUUCUAGCCAGGGGGAUUCUCCAGCAAGGAUUCUCUCGUCCCGUCCCCCCAGCAGUAGACAGACAGACAGUCACAGAAAACCAGGAGCAGCAAAAACAACAAGAACAACAACAACCAUACAAAAUAGUAACAACAACAAGAGGAGAAGGAAGAAGCCACAACGAUGAUGAAAGGUGGCUGCAAACGCAACAACAUCAACAGCAACAACACCAGCAACAACAGUGG
This 325-nucleotide small RNA is filed under the name Drosophila ananassae. Its description in RNAcentral is "GF27754". The record is from RNAcentral. Lineage: Eukaryota; Metazoa; Arthropoda; Insecta; Diptera; Drosophilidae.